GGGAUGGAGCUUAGUGAAAGAGUGCUUGCCUAGCAUGCAUGAGGCCCUGGGUUCAAUCCCCAGGAUCUCA
Molecule: transfer RNA, 70 nt
Filed under: Marmota marmota marmota (Alpine marmot)
Lineage: Eukaryota; Metazoa; Chordata; Mammalia; Rodentia; Sciuridae
Also listed under: 1 other name
Rfam family: tRNA
About the family: Transfer RNA (tRNA) molecules are approximately 80 nucleotides in length. Their secondary structure includes four short double-helical elements and three loops (D, anti-codon, and T loops). Further hydrogen bonds mediate the characteristic L-shaped molecular structure. tRNAs have two regions of fundamental functional importance: the anti-codon, which is responsible for specific mRNA codon recognition, and the 3' end, to which the tRNAs corresponding amino acid is attached (by aminoacyl-tRNA synthetases). tRNAs cope with the degeneracy of the genetic code in two manners: having more than one tRNA (with a specific anti-codon) for a particular amino acid; and 'wobble' base-pairing, i.e. permitting non-standard base-pairing at the 3rd anti-codon position.
Source: Rfam by way of RNAcentral